UUCAAUCUAAAAGUGUGCGUUCCUUUCCAGCCGCCAACACCCUUGCUCCCUUUUCCCUUUUCCUUCUUUUACGACGCGUUCUGUCUUCACGUGAAAGGAGCAAAUCAAUCGAAUCACUAGCUAUAUAACCCGAUGCCUUUUCCCUAUUAAGGGUGCAUUUUAAUCUAUUGAAUGCAAGAAAUCGAGGAUUCAGAAUGAAAUUACUUUGUCCUUGGCUACAGAAGAUCAUCUGGUGGCAACAUUUAGUCCCCAGACCAAAUACUUAGAACUUAGUUUUGUUUUGAUGUAGAACCCUUCAGAAUUUUAUAGAUUAUUGUUAAAUGAUCGAUUGUAUAUUUUAGAAUUAAUUUUUGAAACUAUUUAGAUGACAAUUUGUAUAAUAAAGUGAUAUUCAAAAUUUAUUACUAUGUAUUUCUAUGGUU
Molecule: non-coding RNA, 422 nt
Organism: Nicotiana tabacum (common tobacco)
Lineage: Eukaryota; Viridiplantae; Streptophyta; Magnoliopsida; Solanales; Solanaceae
Source: RefSeq, a predicted model, not a curated record